RNAcentral lists this long non-coding RNA (453 nucleotides) under Hordeum vulgare. RNAcentral describes it as "long non-coding RNA (HVUL_LNC001347)". The record is from RNAcentral. Lineage: Eukaryota; Viridiplantae; Streptophyta; Magnoliopsida; Poales; Poaceae.
GGCGGCCGACUCGGCGAGCGGGCAAGGCCAGCCACAGUGCGAGCGGGCAGGCGCGGCAAGGCGAAGUUGGCUCGGAGUGGUGGCAGAUCGCGGCAGCAGAGGCUAGGCCGGCUCGGAGUGGAUGCGGAUCGCGGGUCGAAGCUGACUCGGACGCGAGGCGAGGCAGGGCCGACGGGUGAAGCGGGGUGCAGUGGACGUGCGGUGGAGGCGGAACCGGCUCGACAGAGCCACCACUGUGCAGACGGAGCUCAGCGGAGCAGGUUACCACGACGAAGGCGUGCGCACACGCGCGUGGCGCAGGCCAGCGCUCUAGGUCGCCGACCGUGGCGCUAUGUCCAUGGUUGAUCCGCUUUUGGUCGUGGCUUCCUUCUCUGAUUCUGAUUAGAAACCUACUAGCAAAAAAGCCCGUGCGUUGCAACGGAGCAAACCAUACAACACGUCUUAACCUAAUAA